RNAcentral lists this ribosomal RNA (428 nucleotides) under uncultured Acidobacterium sp. Its description in RNAcentral is "bacterial SSU rRNA". It matches the Rfam family "Bacterial small subunit ribosomal RNA", at positions 959 to 1385 of the family's 1533-position model. Lineage: Bacteria; Pseudomonadati; Acidobacteriota; Terriglobia; Terriglobales; Acidobacteriaceae. The record is from RNAcentral.
ACGCGAAGAACCUUACCUGGGUUUGAACUUCAGUGGCAAGGCUCAGAGAUGAGUCCCUCCCUUCGGGGAUCGCUGGAGAGGUGCUGCAUGGCUGUCGUCAGCUCGUGUCGUGAGAUGUUGGGUUAAGUCCCGCAACGAGCGCAACCCUUGUCCAUAGUUACUAACGGGUCAUGCCGAGAACUCUAUGGAGACUGCCGGUGAUAAACCGGAGGAAGGUGGGGAUGACGUCAAGUCCUCAUGGCCUUUAUGUCCAGGGCUACACACGUGCUACAAUGGACGGCACAAAGAGUUGCAAAACCGCGAGGUUGAGCUAAUCUCAAAAAACCGUUCUCAGUUCGGAUUGCAGUCUGCAACUCGACUGCAUGAAGCUGGAAUCGCUAGUAAUCGCGGAUCAGCACGCCGCGGUGAAUACGUUCCCGGGCCUUGUA